CCUACGGGAGGCAGCAGUAGGGAAUCUUCCACAAUGGGCGAAAGCCUGAUGGAGCAACGCCGCGUGGGUGAAGAAGGUCUUCGGAUCGUAAAACCCUGUUGUUAGAGAAGAAAGUGCGUGAGAGUAACUGUUCACGUUUCGACGGUAUCUAACCAGAAAGACACGGCUAACUACGUGCCAGCAGCCGCGGUAAUACGUAGGUGGCAAGCGUUAUCCGGAUUUAUUGGGCGUAAAGGGAACGCAGGCGGUCUUUUAAGUCUGAUGUGAAAGCCUUCGGCUUAACCGGAGUAGUGCAUUGGAAACUGGGAGGCUUGAGUGCAGAAGAGGAGAGUGGAACUCCAUGUGUAGCGGUGAAAUGCGUAGAUAUAUGGAAGAACACCAGUGGCGAAAGCGGCUCUCUGUUCUGUAACUGACGCUGAGGUUCGAAAGCGUGGGUAGCAAACAGGAUUAGAUACCCUGGUAGUC
RNAcentral lists this ribosomal RNA (465 nucleotides) under uncultured bacterium. RNAcentral describes it as "partial 16S ribosomal RNA". It matches the Rfam family "Bacterial small subunit ribosomal RNA", at positions 338 to 795 of the family's 1533-position model. The record is from RNAcentral.